GCUCUCUCCACUCUCCAUCUAUCAUCAUCUACUCAAGCUUGUUUCUCUUGAACAUGUAAGAUUCUAAAAACCUUUUGAAAGUGUUUUGUUAUUAUAUGUAGAAAUUUGCAAUAUUCUUGCCUAUUAUUUGUGAAAAUAUACUUGGGAGUUUCAAGAUUUCAAUUCGUAUUCUAAUAGUUAAUUUUAUAGUGAAAAAUUAAGAAAAAAGUUAUUGCAAAACUCUUCGAAAGUUGCAGUAGCUUUUCAUUUUAAAUUACAAGUAACAUAUUUAUGUUGAGUGUACUGCAAAAUACAAGCUAUAUUUUUCUCAUAUCGAGACUCUGGAAAAGGCAUAUUGUUCUUCUACACAAGUAGGAGUACACUACUAGUAUGUACUAGUCGAUGCCCUAGUAUUAGCUAUUUCUUUUACCUUUCUUUGAUUAGUUUUUGGAUUUUACAAAAUAUUUAUAUUCUUUAUUCAUAUUGAGCAAUAGCUCUGUUUUUGUAAGUGACACACUUUAAUUUUUCAUUUUCCCAUAUGUUCAUAUAUUUAGGAUAUCUGACUUCCUCAUUAUAAAUGGACCCUUGUGUUUGUGACUACACGAUAUAAAUAUCUUUUGAAAUAAGAUGUAAAUAUUCACACAACUAAGAAAUUAAAAUUCAAGAGAUUGAUAAAAGUUGAAAACUGUUUCCAAAUAUUGGCAAAUUCUUAGAAAUUUUAGUAAAAUAGAUAAUCUUUGUCUAGAAAACAAGUGGUGUGGCUUAAAAUGAGGAAAAUAUAGCAUAUAUGGAAUAAAGCCAUCAAGCUUCAUUGGUCUAAUUUUUUCAAACUGGUAGUUGUUUAAAAGUUCUCUUUCAAUCUGUUUUUUAAGUUCUUGAUUAGUCUAAUAUCAGUAUUGGUAUUGAUUAGUCAUGUGGAAUUUAGCUUCCUCUAAACUAGAAGACUUCAAUUUUUUUACUGAUGGAUAACUUUAUUUGAUAUUUUGCAAAAUUCUUCAAGAUGUUGCUUUAUUUAUAUCUUGCAUAUUGAUGGGAGUGGUUCUAAAGUUUCACAGUUAUAACAAAGAGAAGAAAUACUCUAGAUUCUUUGCUUCUAUAAUGUAUAAACACUACUUUUACGUUUGUGUUUUCGUUGUUCUAAUUUACUUAUUGCUUGUUAUCCUUUAUCUUAAAUGUAUUAUGGUCCUUUAGAGCUGCAUAAUAAACUUUCGAAAGUAGUUUUUUCUGGAGCCGAUGGUCUUUCGGAAAUAGCCUCUCUACACCAUCUGUGUAGGCAUAAGGUCUGUGUACACUUUACCUUCCCAGAUCCAUCUUAUUGGAUUUUAUUGGAUUGUCGUUGUUGUUGUUGUUGCUUACCCGUAACUCCAAUGUAUUGCUUUUUAUUUUUCCGCUCUCAGCCAUUAUUUUCUACGGAAGAGAAAUUAGAAACAGAUAAGAGAAUGGUUGAUUCUCAGUGAUGAAUAGGUUAUGCACAUAUAAUGGGAGUAUUUAACACAUAUUGAUGUGCUGCAUGAUCUCAAAGUCACAGAUACUUGGAGUAAUAAGUAUUAAACGAACAAAAACGCCUUUUAGUAAAGCCUUUGUUGUAUAGUGUUGCUCUCCUUUAUUUAGAUCUUGCAUUAAGUUGUUUGAGUAAAAAUGAAGAAUUAUGCAGUUAAUGAAAUAACGACAGUAUAGUUCGGAUUUAUGAGAUUUCACUAGUAUCAAAUAAGUUGUGACAUGUUGUAUUAAAGUUGUGUCUGCUUCUACAGAUUUUUUUCUGCUAAAUAUAAAUAUUUUUUCCUAUUUUUAAUCUUUUGUAUUAUUUGUCUCAGUCUGCUACUUCUACUUUCAUCAGUCAUGUAUUAUUUUAUAUUUCAGCUAUGGAACAAUCUAGUGAAAAUUCAAGAGCGAGUUGAAAAAAUAUGAACUUAGUAAAAAUAUUUUUAGAAAGUUGUAUUCAAGAGAUAUCCUUAAACGGGAGACUUGGAAGUAGUUUGAAGGCAAAUUCAUUAUGACGACCCAAAGGGUCAUCACCUAUUUUUUUAUUCAUUCUGUGUCUCCGAGGCCUUCAAAACCUCAUUUAGGGUUGCUUCGAUUUGCGUGCGCAGUCAGGACGCAUAGCCGAAAAGCUUAAAUAUAAAUUCUGUGAGGAAAAUUCUAAAUUUUGAUACUAAAUUGAAUAAAUUUGACUUCGGUCAAUAUUUUGGAUAAACAGACCUGGACGCGUAAUUUGACGGUCCCGGAGAGUCCGUAGAAAAAUAUGGGACUUUGGUGUAUACCCAGAAUCGAAUUCCGAGGUCCCAAGCUUGAGAAAUAAAUUUUUGAGUAAAAUUAUUUUCUGGAAAUAAUUAUGAAAAUUGAAAAUGAAAUUUGAUUAGAAGACUAUGGUAUCGGCCCGUAUUUUGGUUCCGGCGCCCGGUACAAGUCUUAUAUAUAGUUUACGCGCUUUCUGUAAAGUUUGAUUGAAGACGGACGUCGUUUGACGUGUUUCAGACUUAAAAUAAAAAUUUGAUAUUUUAUGAAAACUUGAUAGAAAUUGUGAAUUUUGAGGCUUAAUUCGAUGUAUAUGAUGUUAUUUUGGCGAUUUAAUCGCGUGAGUAAGUCCGUAAAAUAUUUUUGAGAUUGUAUAUAUGUUUAGUCGGGAGCCCCGAGGGCUUGUGAGUUUUGGAUAGGUGUCGAGUUGCAUUUUGAACUAAACAGUUGCAGAAAAAUGUGUUGGUAUGAACAAGCUUCUUAGCUUCACAUUUGCGAAGCCUAGUUCGCAAAUGCGAACUCGUAAAUGCAAAAUUAGCCAGGCAUGCCUUGGAUCACAAAUGCGAUAAAUCCAUUCGCAAAUACGAAGGUUGGACGUUCGCAAAUGCGAUACAUUUGUCGCAAAUGCGAAGUCCUCCAGUUGGUUCUGAGACCAAUAAAUGUGGAAGGAAUUGCGACCAAUAAAUAUUGUAGAGCGUUGGCUCCAGUUGCAUAACGAAUUUUGGAAGUAUAAGUGGUAAUUUAAACUCUAUAGUAUUGGCUCGAGUUGCGAAGUGAAUUAUAAAGUGAAAGUGAGAAAGAGAAGAGAACACUAUAUUGCCCCUUGCCGGUCUAUUGUUAUGUUGAUGGUUCCUUGUUUAGGUGUUGUAAUAAUUUUAGUUGUAGCUAAAGUAAUUAUAUGUUGAAAUGAGAAUGGUCAUAGCUGAAGUAUUUAGAUGUUGUAACAAGUUUAAUUAUCGUCGGGGUAGUUAGGUGUCGGAACGAGCUUGAUUACAGUUGAGGUUGUUAGAUGUUGGGGCAAGUUUGGUUAUAGUUGUAGUAGUUAGUUGUUGGAACAAGUCUGGUUAUAGUUGAUUCUCCCUUGCUGGGGCGUUUGAAUUGUUGUUAUUGUUUCCCUUGCCAGAAUUAUAAUGUGUAUUAUGUUAGAAGUAACGGGAUCGGGUGGUACGCCUGCCACAAGAUAUUGAUUGAAAUAGGAUCGAGUGGUACGCCUACCACAAGAUAUUGAUUGAAAUGGGAUGGGGUGGUAUGCCUACCACAAGAUAUUAAUUGAAAUGGGAUCGGGUGGUACACCUACCACAAGAUAAUGAUUGAAAUGGGAUCGGGUGGUACGCCUACCAUAAGAUGUUAAUUAUAAUGGGAUCAUGUGGUACGCCUAUGAUUGAAAUGGGAUCGGGUCAUACCACAAGAUAUUGAAAUGGGAUCGGGUGGUACGCCUACCACAAAAUAUUAAAAUGGGAGCGGGUGGUAUGCCUAUCACAUGAUAUUAUGAAAUGGGAGCGGGUGGUAUGCCUACCACAAGAUAUAAGAAAUGAGAUCGGAUUGCACGCCUGCAACAAGAUGAGCUGAGUACGAAAGAUGUCUUACUUCCUAAUUUCGUGUUAGAAGGUUAAUUGUAGAUAUUUAUCUUGUUACUCUGAUAUUUUGUUUCUACCUGUUGCCCUUAAAGCAUGUUCCCUUCCCCAGAAUUAGUUGUUUAUUUCUGUUGUUUCUCCAUAUAUUUGUGUAUAUAUAUCUGUACAGGUUUAUCUGGAGUCUGGUCCUAGCCUCGUCACUACCCGCUGGGGUUAGGCCAAACACUUAGCAACACAUGGGGUCGGUUGUGCUGAUGCUACACUCCGUGCUAUUUUGCACAGAUCCAGGUGCCGGAGUAACAUAUUAAGCAGCAGUACUAGAUUGGGAGCCAACCUUCAGUCCACCGAGACACCGAGGUAGCCCUCCAGGCGUCCGCGGGCCUGAUAUCUCUAUCCAUAGUUUAGUCUGUUAUCUCUUUGUAUUCGAAACAAACAAUUAUAUUUUUUUCCAGACGAUUGUAUUUAACACUCUUAGUAGUUCGUGUGUAUUGUGAUACCAGUCUUGGGUAGAGGCUUAUAUUGAAUAUUCCAC
This 4320-nucleotide long non-coding RNA is filed under the name Nicotiana benthamiana. Its description in RNAcentral is "long non-coding RNA (NBEN_LNC034203)". Lineage: Eukaryota; Viridiplantae; Streptophyta; Magnoliopsida; Solanales; Solanaceae. The record is from RNAcentral.